Molecule: ribosomal RNA, 254 nt
Filed under: uncultured bacterium
Lineage: Bacteria
Description: partial 16S ribosomal RNA
Rfam family: Bacterial small subunit ribosomal RNA
Source: RNAcentral
UACGUAGGGUGCAAGCGUUAAUCGGAAUUACUGGGCGUAAAGCGUGCGCAGGCGGUUUUGUAAGUUUGUCGUGAAAUCCCCGGGCUCAACCUGGGAACUGCGUUUGUGACUGUAUGACUAGAGUACGGUAGAGAGGGGUGGAAUUCCUGGUGUAGCAGUGAAAAUGCGUAGAUAUCAGGAGGAACAUCGAUGGCGAAGGCAGCCCCUUGGACCUGUACUGACGCUCAUGCACGAAAGCGUGGGGAGCAAACAGG